RNAcentral lists this ribosomal RNA (958 nucleotides) under uncultured eubacterium WCHA1-37. RNAcentral describes it as "bacterial SSU rRNA". It matches the Rfam family "Bacterial small subunit ribosomal RNA", at positions 524 to 1482 of the family's 1533-position model. The record is from RNAcentral.
UACGUAAGUGGCGAGCGUUAUCCGGAAUCACUGGGCGUAAAGCGUUCGUAGGCGGCGCGGUAAGUUGGAAUUGAAAUCCCAGGGCUUAACUCUGGACCCGGUUCCAAAACUGCUGUGCUUGAGCGUAUCAGAGGGUAGUGGAAUUCCCGGUGUAGCGGUAAUAUGCGUAGAUAUCGGGAGGAACACCAGUGGCGAAGGCGGCUACCUGGGAUAUUGCUGACGCUGAGGAACGAAAGCCAGGGGAGCGAACGGGAUUAGAUACCCCGGUAGUCCUGGCUGUAAACGAUGAGCACUAGGUGUCAGGGGCUUCGACCCCCUUGGCGCCGCCGCUAACGCAUUAAGUGCUCCGCCUGGGGACUACGGCCGCAAGGUUAAAACUCAAAGGAAUUGACGGGGGCCCGCACAAGCAGUGGAGCAUGUGGUUUAAUUCGAUGCUACGCGAAAAACCUUACCAGGACUUGACUUCCCGGUGUAACCUCUUAGAAAUAAGAGGCCCCUUUUGGCACCGGAGACAGGUGGUGCAUGGCUGUCGUCAGCUCGUGCCGUGAGGUGUUGGAUUAAGUUCCGCAACGAGCGCAACCCUCAUUGUCAGUUACCAUCAUUAAGUUGGGUACUCUGGCGAGACUGCCGGCGUCAAGCCGGAGGAAGGUGGGGAUGACGUCAAGUCAUCAUGCCCCUUACGUCCUGGGCUACACACGUGCUACAAUGGGCGGUACAACGGGUUGCCACUCCGCGAGGAGGAGCGAAUCCCUUAAAGCCGUUCUCAGUUCGGAUUGGAGGCUGCAACUCGCCUCCAUGAAGCCGGAAUUGCUAGUAACCGUGGAUCAGCAUGCCGCGGUGAAUACGUACCCGGGCCUUGUACACACCGCCCGUCACACCACGAAAGUUGGCAACACCCGAAGUCCGUAGGCUAACCGCAAGGAGGCAGCGGCCGAAGGUGGGGUCAAUGAUUGGGGUG